GAAAUGAAGACUCCGAUGCUUAACCAACUGAGCCACUCAGGUAGCCAGAGAGAAUAAGAAAUUUUAAUGAAGAAAGGAAAAAGGGUGAUGAAAAUAGAAUAGGGUGUGUCAAAGAAAGCCAGUUACAUAUAGGGUAGGAAAUAAAAGCGCAUGGAUGGCUGAAGAAAAGUGGCCAGGAUGAAGUGAGGAGAAAUAGGCUGAUGAUGUUUCACCUAAGAGAGAAAGAAACCACAGACAUGACAAGGGAGAAACAGAGAAGCAGGCAAAUCUUUGAGUGGUGCCAGACAGCAUGGAAGAGAAACUAAGAUGAACAAAAAGAGAUUCUGAAAACAACAGAAAAAGUGACAUGAACUUCUAUUCUUUAUCUCACAUCCCCUUUUACUUCCCAUGAGCACUUAAAGCUGUGGAGUACCAUAGAUCUGAGGGCUAGAAUCUGAAGGUGGGAGUUUUGGGGGUUAGAUCCUUCCUGUCUAUAGGGUGGACCUCCUUUAAUGAAGGCCAUUAUCCACCAUUCCUGCCCCGUGGCCCCCAUCCCAGACGUGACCAAGCGGAGACUGGACGAAUCCCAGUCAGGGACGCAACAGAGAGAGUCAUGCACUGAGAGGGCAAUCAGGCAAGAUCAUUUCUAAAAUCUUUCCUGGUUCUGUGCUCUUGUGUAUGCAUGAUUCUAAGCCACGAGCAGGUGCCUAACAAAAGGAGGUUGGUCAGUGGGUCAGAGGAUCAGUCCAUGAAUGUUUGCUACACACAUGUGCCCUAUUUAAAAAGGAUUUGCUGGCAGGCCUCAGAAGGCCCUGCCUUCUGGAGAGCUGUUAGAUGAAAAAAGGUUGAGACUAUGACUUUCUGACAUUAUUUCCAGGUAGUUGGCACGUACAAAUUUUUAAAAAAUAUAUUUAUUUUAAUUUGAAAAUGGACAUGAAAAAGAUAGAAUUAAAAAUCAGUCACAAUGCCACCAACCACUUUGGUGGAAAUAUUUAUGCAUGUUUAGCUCUACUUAGAACACACACACGACUACACUGAACAUACUGUUUUGUGUAUGUAUCUCUCUUAGGUCAUUAAAUAACCUUUGACAAUAUUUUAAUGAUGUGUGUGUGUUCAAGAACUUUCUGAUAAAAACAAAACAGGGAGAUGGGAGCAAGAUGGUCAUUUGAGGCAGGCAGUAUGGAUUUAUUCUGCAAAAGAAAGCACAGGGUUCCAUCCUGUUUUGCAAAAACCAUCAGUGGAAAGUAAUUCUGAUGAGGAGGAGAAGUAUGUUGCUCACAGGGAUUAUGCCUUCCAGCCUCAGUCCUGGUAUGAACACAGCAUGGACCUACAACCAUCCGCAAUGGACAUGUAGCAUGAGCAAGAAAUAAAUCUUUAUUUUGUAAGACACACACACAACACACACACACACACACACACACCGCAAACAUACAAAUGGCAAGACCACUUACAUUUCCUAAGGCUACAAGGAAGGGCACCUGUGAAAGAAAUCAGCUUCUGGAAUCUGGGCUCCUUUGUUGUGUAUAUCUGCUAAUAUAUUUGAAUCAUAUGUGGGGUGCAGAGUUUUCCCAAAUGAGCCUAUAAACUCUGCAGACAAAGCUUAUUCUUUAAGUGUGUGGGGAAUUAAGGGGAUGCCUCACUCCCUACGUAAGGAAGAAGCCUGGGAAGGCCUACUGUACCUUGCUUCGGGCAGAAGAAAAUGGACAUAGCAGGUGUCUUCCAAGGCUCUGUUAAGCAGAGGGCUGGUCUAUGGAGAAGUUAGGAGGAAGAAUUCAGGGAUGAGGAAGCAGAAACUGUGUUCUGAACACUGGAGUGCCGGCCACUUCCUUGUGCAAGAUGCAACUCAAGUAGGAGGUCAAGGCAACCCCCAUCCACAAGGCCGCACCUGUAGCUACCACCAUCCAGAUAGGAAGGCUUUGCCCAAGCAGCCUGAGAUUUGCAGCCUUUAUGUCUUUCCCCCUCUUUAGGCCCCACUGAGGCCCAGAAGUACACAAUUGGUGGCUAAAGGGCACGACCAUUUUCCCCAAAAUUGGGGUUUGGGAGACACAAUCUUUCACAGGUAAGUACAGCACUAGGCAAUCAUGAUGGCAGAGUGCCAUUCAGGCCGUCCAGAACUUGAGGAAUAUAUGCUCUUUCAGUGGCAUCUCACUGCACUCAAAAUAAAUUCCUAAAUCUUUAUCAUGCUCUUCAAGGCCCUAUGUAGCCUGCACCAUGACGCUUCUUCCAGCCUGUGAUCUACUCCUUGAUGAUGCCACACUCACUCCCUUGUUUCCAGCCCCCCCCCCCCCCCGGCAUAUUCCUGCCUGUCCCUGGGCUCACUAUGCCCUUUGCCUUGGACGCCUUUCCCUCUGUGUUUACAUGGCCCCCUCCCUCACUUCAUUCUAGUUCUUCUCAAAUGUAACACCAGAACCACUGAUGCAUUCUGUGGCCACCCUACCCAGAAUAGCAUCCUCCCUCCAUUACUCAUCUAUUGGCAGUAGGGGAGCCUGCCACUAUGGGAAGCUGGGACCCACAUUUGACACAAGAGGACACUCCGGCCACGCUGAGGAGAGGGAGCCCCGGGAUGAAAUAGCUGGAAGAAACCGUGCCACUCAAAGUCCCAUGGACACCAUGUGACAGGAGGGGCUGUGUCCAUCGGGCCACUGCCUUGUCUCACAAACAACCCCUUCCAUUCACGUCCACAUGUGUCUGUUUUCUGCCUCUUGAGUGGGUCCGAAACUGGAAAACAUCUGCACUAGUUUCGUCUGGGUGUGAUUUAUAAGGACUCCCCAUGGUCCCCUCUCUCCCUUCUCCUCCUCUUCACCUCUGGUGCUUGGGGGUUUCGUGGUUUUUUGUUUUGUUUUGUUUUGUUUUAAACAGGCUAGUGUUUCUUGAGACUGGGUCACCUUGAUUUAUUAUGCCCUGGACUCAUUAACAAAAGACUCUGGGACAGGUCAUUUAUUUUCUGAGUGGUGAUUUCCUGUCCUACCCCAGCCCUGCUCGGCAGGGGCCUGGUGGAGCACAGACUUAUAUUAGCUGCACUGUCACCAUGGGAGAACGGAAUCAAGCAAGGAAGGUACAGAGGGCAGAAAACGUCUCUUUUCUUAAGGGCUUUCUCCUUACUUUAAUGAUUUUCUUCAGAGUCCCUUUUGGUAGUUCUUUCUCUCCUCCCUCAGCAAAUGAGACAAGUUUAACAGAUAAGUUGUGGGGUUGCUUCUUAAAGGAACAGACACGGAUCUGUUUUCUCUAUUUCACAUUUGAAUAGCCUAACAUUUAUAUGUGUAUUUAUGGAGGGUUAUUAGUGGACACCCAAGCUGAGCAUGAAGUAGGCGAACUCAACGUUAUGUGCACUAUGGUCAACUAUUUUGUCAGGUCCUUAUUAAAAUAAUACACUCAUGUUUGGGCACUAAAACCUGAGAUGCUAAUAAUUUAGAGGGAGGUCACAAGGCAAAAGUGAAAUUAUUCAAGAUUUUCAGAUAGGCUCUCUGGAGGAAGAUUAAAGAAAUUGGCAUGGUUUAGCCUGAGGUUCAAAGGCUGAAGAAUGAUUUAUUAACUGUUUUCAGGUCUCUGGGAGGUAGUUUUAUGUAGGAAUGAUGGUGACCAACUGUUUUCUGACUGCACUAAAGAUAGAAUCAGAGGAAGUAGAAUUAAAUUGUAGCAAAAUUACAGAAUAGUCAUAAGGUGAGUAGCUAUGGCUAAAGUCUAUUGAGAAAAAGAUGAGAUAUAUCUGUAAAGUUGUAACGCUGUUACCCCAUUUUAAAGAAUAACAAACAGAGGCUCAAAGAAGUUAAGUAAUUGCUGAAGGUCACAAAGUGAGGCAGUGACAGAACUGGGUCUAACUAAUUCCACAGUGUAUAGAGUGUAUAAAUAGGUCAAAGAAAUAGCAAAUAUAUGUAUAUUUUUUUAAUAAAAAUAAAUAAAAAAAUAAAAUCAUAUUAUAAAGUUCCCAAUAGUCUAGAUUGAUUUAUGUUCAGAGAACAGGGGAUUCAAUUCUGUGGACUUAAGACCUUGGGAUUCUAUGCUCCACUUGGUUCUGAGCUGGGAAGGCAGUCCUCUUCACUCACCUUCAGCCUAAGAGACAGGCAGAGUGGGCAGACCCAGCACCAGCACCCUCUGAAGCAGUCUGAAGACUGGGCUCUGGGCUGGUCAUUUUUGUCACUUGUCAUGGGCCAUACUCCCAGGCAAAGGCUUUGGUCUCAGGAAGGCUAUGGAGUUGGUGGGUGUGGAUGGUUGAGGCUCAAGAAAGGCACCCCUCCUGCCCACUGUGCUUGUCUCCUCGAAGUCCCUCCCACCAUGGAAAGGCCAGUUAAGGAGUUUCUGGAGUGUGUUUCACUGUGAGGAUUGGGAUUGAUCCAGAACCACCAAAGUGGCUGGACUCCUGAGAAGUAUGCAGAAGUGGGAGAAGCAAAGCCCAGCUGGAUUAUUGCCCUGCACAUGGGUCAGUUUGGAAAUGGCCACGAAGGAGGAGCAAGGCUGUAAGAAAGAUUUCGUGGGCGGGAAGGAGAGCGAACAUCUACUGCACACUUACUCUGCCAGGUACUGGUGAAGGGUGAGGGACUACGUGAGGUCAUUCGAUCUCUGCAACAACACUGUGACGUCAGUACUCUUACUAUCGUCAUUUACAGAAGGGGAACCAGCACAGAGAAGUAAAACACUGGUCGACGCUCCACAGCCAGGAGGAGUUAGAACUCGAAUCCAGACCUAAAAGACCGUCUGACCCCGGAGGCUGCAUUCUUAACUGCCAUGACUCGGAUGAGGACAUGGACGGUCCGCAUAGCAAUGCACCGCUACCAUUUUGCACUCGGUCUGUGGCUGGUCUUGGGGCUGCAGAGAGGGCAGUCCUGAAGUCCAGAUCCCAGGGACAAGAGGGCUACUGCAGAGCUGGCGAAAAUGACCAAAGGAGGAAAUCAGAACACGGUCCAGGUCACAGUGGGGAGAUGUGGCUCAUUUCUUGUCUCUGUAGUCUGCUGAGUGGUCCCAUAAUCCGGGCUACUCA
Long non-coding RNA from Leopardus geoffroyi (Geoffroy's cat), 4954 nucleotides. RefSeq lists it as uncharacterized. The transcript has 3 exons. NCBI's taxonomy places the organism in Eukaryota, Metazoa, Chordata, Mammalia, Carnivora, Felidae. The record is from RefSeq and is a predicted model, not a curated record.